GGGGGUAUAGCUCAGUGAUAGAGCACCUGCUUGGCAUGCACAAGGCCCUGCGUUCGAUCCCCAGCACCUUCU
This 72-nucleotide transfer RNA is filed under the name Oryctolagus cuniculus (rabbit). It matches the Rfam family "tRNA". Rfam says of the family: Transfer RNA (tRNA) molecules are approximately 80 nucleotides in length. Their secondary structure includes four short double-helical elements and three loops (D, anti-codon, and T loops). The record is from Rfam by way of RNAcentral. Lineage: Eukaryota; Metazoa; Chordata; Mammalia; Lagomorpha; Leporidae.